GCUGGUGUAGCUCAGCCGGUAGAGCAGCGCAUUCGUAAUGCGCAGGUCGUCAGUUCGAGUCUGACUACCAGCU
Molecule: transfer RNA, 73 nt
Filed under: Sporobacter termitidis DSM 10068
Lineage: Bacteria; Bacillati; Bacillota; Clostridia; Eubacteriales; Oscillospiraceae
Rfam family: tRNA
About the family: Transfer RNA (tRNA) molecules are approximately 80 nucleotides in length. Their secondary structure includes four short double-helical elements and three loops (D, anti-codon, and T loops).
Source: Rfam by way of RNAcentral